RNAcentral lists this ribosomal RNA (162 nucleotides) under Zosima orientalis. RNAcentral describes it as "5.8S ribosomal RNA". It matches the Rfam family "5.8S ribosomal RNA". Rfam says of the family: 5.8S ribosomal RNA (5.8S rRNA) is a component of the large subunit of the eukaryotic ribosome. It is transcribed by RNA polymerase I as part of the 45S precursor that also contains 18S and 28S rRNA. Functionally, it is thought that 5.8S rRNA may be involved in ribosome translocation. Lineage: Eukaryota; Viridiplantae; Streptophyta; Magnoliopsida; Apiales; Apiaceae. RNAcentral also lists the same sequence under 16 other names. The record is from RNAcentral.
AACGACUCUCGACAACGGAUAUCUCGGCUCUCGCAUCGAUGAAGAACGUAGCGAAAUGCGAUACUUGGUGUGAAUUGCAGAAUCCCGUGAACCAUCGAGUCUUUGAACGCAAGUUGCGCCCGAAGCCAUUAGGCUGAGGGCACGUCUGCUUGGGUGUCACGC